CGGACGGGUGAGUAAUGUAUGGGGAUCUGCCUGAUGGCGGGGGAUAACUACUGGAAACGGUAGCUAAUACCGCAUAAUGUCUGCGGACCAAAGCGGGGGACCUCCGGGCCUCGCGCCACCAGAUGAACCCAUAUGGGAUUAGCUUGUAGGUAAGGUAACGGCUUACCUAGGCGACGAUCCCUAGCUGGUCUGAGAGGAUGACCAGCCACACUGGAACUGAGACACGGUCCAG
Molecule: ribosomal RNA, 232 nt
Filed under: uncultured bacterium
Lineage: Bacteria
Description: partial 16S ribosomal RNA
Rfam family: Bacterial small subunit ribosomal RNA
Source: RNAcentral